Molecule: ribosomal RNA, 800 nt
Filed under: Cytospora ribis
Lineage: Eukaryota; Fungi; Ascomycota; Sordariomycetes; Diaporthales; Cytosporaceae
Description: LSU rRNA
Rfam family: Eukaryotic large subunit ribosomal RNA
Source: RNAcentral
GCAUAUCAAUAAGCGGAGGAAAAGAAACCAACAGGGAUUGCCCUAGUAACGGCGAGUGAAGCGGCAACAGCUCAAAUUUGAAAGCUGGCUUAGGCCCGCAUUGUAAUUUGCAGAGGAUGCUUCUGGCGAGGUGCCUUCCGAGUUCCCUGGAACGGGACGCCAUAGAGGGUGAGAGCCCCGUAUGGAUGGACACCAGACCUGUGUGAAGCUCCUUCAACGAGUCGAGUAGUUUGGGAAUGCUGCUCUAAAUGGGAGGUAAAUCUCUUCUAAAGCUAAAUACCGGCCAGAGACCGAUAGCGCACAAGUAGAGUGAUCGAAAGAUGAAAAGCACCUUGAAAAGGGGGUUAAACAGUACGUGAAAUUGUUGAAAGGGAAGCGCUUGUGACCAGACUUGCGCCGGGCAGCUCAUCAGGGGUUCUCCCCUGUGCACUCUGCCCGGCUCAGGCCAGCAUCGGUUCUCGUGGGAGGAUAAGAACGGUAGGAACGUGGCCCCCCUCCGGGGGGGUGUUAUAGCCUGCCGUACGAUACUCCCGUGGGGACCGAGGUUCGCGCUCCGCAAGGAUGCUGGCGUAAUGGUCAUCAGCGACCCGUCUUGAAACACGGACCAAGGAGUCGUCCAUUAGAGCGAGCGUUUGGGUGUAAAACCCGCACGCGUAAUGAAAGUGAACGCAGGUGAGAGCUUCGGCGCAUCAUCGACCGAUCCUGAUGUCUUCGGAUGGAUUUGAGUAAGAGUUUUAACGGACGGACCCGAAAGACAGUGAACUAUGCUUGUAUAGGGUGAAGCCAGAGGAAACUCUGGU